This 810-nucleotide ribosomal RNA is filed under the name uncultured bacterium. RNAcentral describes it as "bacterial SSU rRNA". It matches the Rfam family "Bacterial small subunit ribosomal RNA", at positions 8 to 796 of the family's 1533-position model. The record is from RNAcentral.
AGAGUUUGAUCAUGGCUCAGAAUCAACGCUGGCGGCGUGCCUAACACAUGCAAGUCGAACGCGAAAGUGGAGCAAUCCAUGAGUAGAGUGGCAAACGGGUGAGUAACGCGUGGGUGACCUGCCUUCGAGCGGGGGAUAACGUUCCGAAAGGGACGCUAAUACCGCAUGACAUCCUGCCUUUGAAGAGGCGGAGAUCAAAGCUGGGGAUCGCAAGACCUAGCACUCGAUGAGGGGCCCGCGUCUGAUUAGCUAGUUGGUGGGGUAACGGCUCACCAAGGCAACGAUCAGUAUCCGGCCUGAGAGGGCGGACGGACACACUGGGACUGAGACACGGCCCAGACUCCUACGGGAGGCAGCAGUGGGGAAUUGUUCGCAAUGGGCGCAAGCCUGACGACGCAACGCCGCGUGGAGGAUGAAGAUCUUCGGGUCGUAAACUCCUUUCGAUCGAGACGAACAGCCUUCGGGUAAACAAUCCGGAGGUUUGACGGUACCGAGAGAAGAAGCCCCGGCUAACUCCGUGCCAGCAGCCGCGGUAAUACGGGGGGGGCAAGCGUUGUUCGGAAUUACUGGGCGUAAAGGGCUCGUAGGCGGCCAACUAAGUCAGACGUGAAAUCCCUCGGCUUAACCGGGGAACUGCGUCUGAUACUGGAUGGCUUGAGUUUGGGAGAGGGAUGCGGAAUUCCAGGUGUAGCGGUGAAAUGCGUAGAUAUCUGGAGGAACACCGGUGGCGAAGGCGGCAUCCUGGACCAACACUGACGCUGAGUGAGCGAAAGCCAGGGGAGCAAACGGGAUUAGAUACCCUAGUAGUCC